AAAUGCGAUAAGUAAUGUGAAUUGCAGAAUUCAGUGAAUCAUCGAAUCUUUGAACGCACAUUGCGCCCGCCAGUAUUCUGGCGGGCAUGCCUGUUCGAGCGUCAUUACAACCCUCAGGCCCCCGGGCCUGGCGUUGGGGAUCGGCGGAAGCCCCCUGCGGGCACAACGCCGUCCCCCAAAUACAGUGGCGGUCCCGCCGCAGCUUCCAUUGCGUAGUAGCUAACACCUCGCAACUGGAGAGCGGCGCGGCUACGCCGUAAAACACCCAACUUCUGAAUGUUGACCUCGAAUCAGGUAGGAAUACCCGCUGAACUUAAGC
This 319-nucleotide unclassified non-coding RNA is filed under the name plant metagenome. Its description in RNAcentral is "partial contains 5.8S ribosomal RNA, internal transcribed spacer 2, and large subunit ribosomal RNA". The stretch from base 1 to 104 matches the Rfam family "5.8S ribosomal RNA", at positions 51 to 154 of the family's 154-position model. The record is from RNAcentral.